AGUGAACGCUGGCGGUAGGCCUAACACAUGCAAGUCGAACGGCAGCACAGUAAGAGCUUGCUCUUACGGGUGGCGAGUGGCGGACGGGUGAGGAAUACAUCGGAAUCUACUUUUUCGUGGGGGAUAACGUAGGGAAACUUACGCUAAUACCGCAUACGACCUACGGAUGAAAGCAGGGGAUCUUCGGACCUUGCGCGAUUGAAUGAGCCGAUGUCGGAUUAGCUAGUUGGCGGGGUAAAGGCCCACCAAGGCGACGAUCCGUAGCUGGUCUGAGAGGAUGAUCAGCCACACUGGAACUGAGACACGGUCCAGACUCCUACGGGAGGCAGCAGUGGGGAAUAUUGGACAAAGGGCGCAAGCCUGAUCCAGCCAUACCGCGUGGGUGAAGAAGGCCUUCGGGUUGUAAAGCCCUUUUGUUGGGAAAGAAAAGCAGCAGGUUAAUACCCCGCUGUUCUGACGGUACCCAAAGAAUAAGCACCGGCUAACUUCGUG
RNAcentral lists this ribosomal RNA (492 nucleotides) under uncultured bacterium. RNAcentral's name for it is "partial 16S ribosomal RNA". It matches the Rfam family "Bacterial small subunit ribosomal RNA", at positions 29 to 507 of the family's 1533-position model. The record is from RNAcentral.